Molecule: long non-coding RNA, 1194 nt
Filed under: Helianthus annuus (common sunflower)
Lineage: Eukaryota; Viridiplantae; Streptophyta; Magnoliopsida; Asterales; Asteraceae
Source: RNAcentral
AUGGGUCAAACCUAAUGUCAUAUUCGUUAUAUUCGGAUCUUAUAAAAACAGUAUCCUAAUUUCCUGAAACCCUAACUAUCAUAUGCUUCUUCUUCCUCCAUCUCAUUUUCUUUGAAACCAAAUCUUCGUCAUCACUUAAUCCCACAACCCCAACCUUUGUGCUUCUCAAUUAUACUUCAUCCAGAUCCCUACUUUCAUUCUCACUCUUCAGAUCUCAUCACUCCAUUAAUGCCCCAAACUGUUUGACUCUCUUGAUUUCUGUAUCAUCUAAUAUAACACUCCAGAUCUUCACAAUCUUCACAGGUGCUGUUGCAUACAGAUCUGAGGUUAUGUUUGCUUGUGGCGUGUGAUUUAUCGGAUUUGUAGUUGAUUGAUUGCUCUUCUAAGAAAGGAGAGAUGGAAUCUGAAGGAGAGACUAGGGUUAUUGUACAGUCAAACACCGAUUCUACAUUAAGGUUUAGAUUUGUAUCUGAUUCUUGCUAUCGUUCUUCGUGUGGUUUUUGUUACACAUCUGGAAAGUGGGACAUAAUGCCCUAGCCACUGCCUCCUGACGGCUAGGGUUCCGACGAGUUGAUCUGGAGCCAGUUCAGUUCAAAGAUAGGUUAAAGAAUAACUGCUAUCGCUACCACCUCCAUCGCUACAGGAAUGAUUGAGGCUUAGCCUUUUAUGUGGUUUUUCACUGCCUCAGCCUAGGUGCGCCUUAAAUCGCCUUUUAAACCAUGAAUACAGGUUCAACUGUCAUUUGGCUGGAUGAUCAGUUGGAAGCAGCAAUUAAGCUUGACUCAAUUUUCACUAUAAGUAUGUUGUUCCAAUGUAAGGUUCAUAAGGGAAUUGGUAUAUGGUAUGUGGUUGAAAAAGAAGAAGUUGAAUGGUCUAUGCAGAUGGCAGUGGUAUGCCUGUAAAGUCAACUUCUGUCUCUGAUGAUGAUAAGUUAGAGGUGAAACCAAUAUGGUUAUUGGGAUACAUCUUUUGGCGGGUCAGAUAAUGAAUAUAGUAGUAACCUUUUUUCGUCAGUGUUUAAACUUUCUGUAGAUUUUUGUAAUGCAUACUGCUUUUCAAGUUUGUUUCUAAUGUGUUACUUAUACAUAUAUGCCUGUAUAAUGUCACAAGGUUGAUUAUGCAUUACAAGGGGUUUGCCUGAUUCAUGGAUCGAAAAUUUGAACCAUAGCACUUAUAAGAACAUGUAUACUUUUU